RNAcentral lists this long non-coding RNA (1237 nucleotides) under Olea europaea subsp. europaea. Lineage: Eukaryota; Viridiplantae; Streptophyta; Magnoliopsida; Lamiales; Oleaceae. The record is from RNAcentral.
CUUAUCAUCAUUUUUUCUUUUCUUUUUUUCAUUUUGGGCCCUGAAGCAUGGAGACUUUUUCUUCUGACAUUCAUUCACCAUUUCUACACGCAACAUCCCAUUGCUUACUCCGUUCUCCAUUUUGCCUCUCAGUUAUACAUCAUACACAUACACCUCAGUUUUAUUCCGUUUUCCAUUUUUCCUCCCCAGUUAUACAUCACAAGCUUUUUUUGCUAUCUUCAUUAGAAAAUUUGGGGAUGGAAUUCAUAGGUGGAAAAAGGACAGGUAGACCCGAAGGUGAGUUCAACAACAAUGGCGGUUUCAAGAAAUCCAAGCACUAUUUGUUUUUCAUUUUUUUUUUACACUCACUAUUAGUUCUAGGGCUUCUUCUUCUUCUUCUUCUUCUUUUUCGAAUACUUACAGGUUUUAUGUUGAACUUUGAGAAGGGAAAUCAACGUUCUGGGUUAAAAGUCUGGCAUUCCAACAUUUGAAAGCUGGGCUUGAGGAAAAUUGAAUAGAAUUAGCUAAACAAUAUUGUGAACAUUUGGCAAUUAGAAAGAAAAUGGCUCGUUUGGCUUGAUGCUAUGAAAAUCAUUAUGUAUAAUUGGGUUGUUGUUGAUUCAAGAAAAGAUGGUUAUGAGAGGAAUUGUUUGUGUAUAUUAAUUUUGACUUUUUUUUCAUCAAUAUUAUAAUUAUUUUAAAAUUUCAAAAUUUUGAUGUUAUGAUUUCUUCCACCCGAAAUAAAUCUUUAGGAUUACCUUUUUUCCAAGUUUUUGUUUUCUGUUUUAAAUUUGUGAUGUUUGAAUUAAAUCAGAUGUAGACGCGUUCUCCACUUGCCAGAGCUCGAGCUGAUUAUGACUAUAUCUCAUCAAGCUGUUGUUGGUCAGCAACAGUGGUAUGUGUUUUCACGCACUUAACACUUUCACAUUCUGAUUGAAAUGUGUGAACACGCUUUUAUAUUUGAUUUUUGAUUUUUGAUUUUUGAUUUUUGGCUGCGUAUUUAUAGAAAAGCCUAACAUGUCUUAAGAUUUUGUUGAUUUGCCAUGGAAAUCUCUUCAUUUCUUCCGCUAGGUUUUCUUUCCAGUACCCAAUUUCAUUAAUGGAUCUCACAAAGAAACGUGAGGUCGGCGAGAAUGGCGUCACCCGCAUCGCCUAUUCUACACCAAUAGGUUUCAAAUCUCAUUAGUCUUAGUCUCUCAAGCUCUACAGAAAAGAUUAUUGUUGAGCACAUAUGGUGAGUUUCUCUUCAUUUAGUUUA